AUUGAACGCUGGCGGAAUGCUUUACACAUGCAAGUCGAGCGGCAGCGCGGCCUUCGGGCUGGCGGCGAGCGGCGAACGGGUGAGUAAUGCAUCGGAACAUGCCCAGUCGUGGGGGAUAACACUUCGAAAGAAGUGCUAAUACCGCAUACGUCCUGAGGGGGAAAGCGGGGGAUCGCAAGACCUCGCGCGAUUGGAGUGGCCGAUGUCAGAUUAGCUAGUUGGUGGGGUAAAGGCCUACCAAGGCGACGAUCUGUAGCUGGUCUGAGAGGAUGAUCAGCCACACUGGGACUGAGACACGGCCCAGACUCCUACGGGAGGCAGCAGUGGGGAAUUUUGGACAAUGGGGGCAACCCUGAUCCAGCCAUUCCGCGUGAGUGAAGAAGGCCUUCGGGUUGUAAAGCUCUUUCGGCAGGAACGAAACGGUGGGCUCUAACAUAGUCCGCUAAUGACGGUACCUGAAGAAGAAGCACCAGCUAACUACGUG
RNAcentral lists this ribosomal RNA (484 nucleotides) under uncultured bacterium. RNAcentral's name for it is "partial 16S ribosomal RNA". It matches the Rfam family "Bacterial small subunit ribosomal RNA", at positions 30 to 507 of the family's 1533-position model. The record is from RNAcentral.